Molecule: long non-coding RNA, 741 nt
Filed under: Rattus norvegicus (Norway rat)
Lineage: Eukaryota; Metazoa; Chordata; Mammalia; Rodentia; Muridae
Description: long non-coding RNA NONRATT021831
Source: RNAcentral
UGGAACCCAGACCCUCACACAUCGUAGGCAAGAAUCUGUCCCCUGUCUCCUCCAUCCCACCCCUCAUUCCCAUUUCUCCCUCACCUCUCAUCCCUUAUUUCCAAGCCUCCUGCGACAUCUUCCUUUCUCCUUUCUCUCAGCCCCAUCCUCAGCCCACAUUUCCUCUGCUCCCUUUUUCUCCUCUCACUACCUGCCCUGCUCCUGUGUUCCUGCCCUAGGAGACCCCUUGCCGAUCCACCAUUACUUCCAUGGCUACCUAGCUGGUUUCAGCGUGCGCUCAGGUCGCCUGGAGAGCCGUGAGGUCAUCGAGUGCCUCUAUGCAUGUCGGGAGGGGCUGGACUAUAGGGAUUUCGAGAGCCUGGGCAAAGGCAUGAAGGUAUAGCCCUUUCCACUCCCUCUCUUUCCCCGCAUGCCCCUGGCCCCGACACCCCUCGACCCCUCUACACUUCUGCACCUUUCCUCUCCUGCCUCCUGGUCUUGCUCUCAGCUGUGUCUGUGUCUGGGACCCAGGUGCACGUGAACCCCUCGCAGUCCCUGCUCACCCUGGAGGGGGAUGAUGUGGAGACCUUCAACCAUGCCCUGCAGCACGUGGCUUACAUGAACACUCUGCGCUUUGCCACGCCCGGCGUCAGGCCCCUGCGCCUCACCACCGCUGUCAAGUGCUUUAGUGAAGAGUCCUGUGUCUCCAUCCCUGAAGUGGAGGGCUAUGUGGUGGUUCUUCAGCCCGAUGCCCCCCAGAUC